AUCCGGGCGGCAGAAUUCAGAAUCGACGGGCGCAAGUUCGUCUAUUUGAUAUUUCUGUCGCCGUACAACCACGGACGUCGCGACCCGUUCGAUGUCGGUCCUCGCCUUCGGGAGGAACCGCGUUCGAGUUCGCCGUUGGAGCGCGCGUUCGCGUGCGUUUCGGUCGGCGAAGGCGCGGAUUUCUGGCCGACUUGUCGGACGGUAUGUCAACGGGGGUGUCCGGCGUCGUGUUUUGAUGGCGCGGCGUCGGUGCCGGUCAGCGACGAAUCUUCGGGUCUCUUUCCGACCCGUCUUGAAACACGGACCAAGGAGUCUAACGUGCGCGCGAGUCGCGGGGUGUCGAGCGUGCCGGGCUUGCCCGGUGCGUUCGUUACGCAACGAAACCCGUAUACGUAGAAGGCGUAAUGAAAGUGAACGGGGAAGAUGGCGUUACCGAGUACACGUUCCACGGUCGCUGGUACCGAGGCCGGUCGCCCGCAUUCCCGGGGCGUCCCAACGGUCCGUCCAUGAUGCGGAUGGUCGUCGCGAGAUGGCCGUCGGUCGCCGGACGAACCGGGGCGCACCUAUAGCGUGCACGUUGGUACCCGAAAGAUGGUGAACUAUGCCCGGCCAGGAUGAAGUCAGGGGAAACCCUGAUGGAGGUCCGCAGCGAUUCUGACGUGCAAAUCGAUCGUCUGAGC
This 680-nucleotide ribosomal RNA is filed under the name Eriococcus spurius. RNAcentral describes it as "eukaryotic LSU rRNA". It matches the Rfam family "Eukaryotic large subunit ribosomal RNA", at positions 536 to 911 of the family's 3401-position model. The record is from RNAcentral. Lineage: Eukaryota; Metazoa; Arthropoda; Insecta; Hemiptera; Eriococcidae.